AACGAACGCUGGCGGCAUGCCUAACACAUGCAAGUCGAACGAAGGCUUCGGCCUUAGUGGCGCACGGGUGCGUAACGCGUGGGAAUCCGCCCCUCGGUUCGGAAUAACAGUUAGAAAUGACUGCUAAUACCGGAUGAUGACUUCGGCCCAAAGAUUUAUCGCCGAGGGAUGAGCCCGCGUAAGAUUAGGUAGUUGGUGGGGUAAAGGCCUACCAAGCCGACGAUCUUUAGCUGGUCUGAGAGGAUGAUCAGCCACACUGGGACUGAGACACGGCCCAGACUCCUACGGGAGGCAGCAGUGGGGAAUAUUGGACAAUGGGCGAAAGCCUGAUCCAGCAAUGCCGCGUGAGUGAUGAAGGCCUUAGGGUUGUAAAGCUCUUUUACCAGGGAUGAUAAUGACAGUACCUGGAGAAUAAGCUCCGGCUAACUCCGUGCCAGCAGCCGCCGUAA
Molecule: ribosomal RNA, 449 nt
Filed under: uncultured bacterium
Lineage: Bacteria
Description: partial 16S ribosomal RNA
Rfam family: Bacterial small subunit ribosomal RNA
Source: RNAcentral